RNAcentral lists this long non-coding RNA (753 nucleotides) under Vitis vinifera (wine grape). Its description in RNAcentral is "long non-coding RNA (VVIN_LNC007725)". The record is from RNAcentral. Lineage: Eukaryota; Viridiplantae; Streptophyta; Magnoliopsida; Vitales; Vitaceae.
CAAUUUGAGGUAGGAAAUCCUUUAAAAGGGAUAGUAGAGACCCUCUUACUUGAAGAACAUAAAGCAGAGGUUCUAACCACAGAGAUCUAGGGGAAUCAAAUGGGGAUUAUGAGUCCUCCUCUUUUCCUUCUCUCUUUCAUUCUCUUCACUGUGAUGAAGUGUCCAACACUGGCUCUCAAACGGGCAAGCAUUAUUCUCUAUCUCUCUCAAUUCUCUAAGUGGCUAACUACCCAUGUUAACCUGUUUUAUAGAACCUCAUGUCAUGUGGUGUAAUAUGAUUUUGUUGUACCCUUUUUCUACAGUCAUAUGUGGUGUACCUAGGUAGUCAUUCACAUGGAGCUGAACCUACUUCUGUAUUGGGGAAGAUAUAAUUAUUGGAAACCUAGACACUGGUAAUCUUGAUUGCUAACCAGCUUUGAGAUUUGGUGAAGUUUAAAAUGCUAAUACUCUUUCAAUGAGUUAUCUAUAUUCGGUAGCAUUAAUCUUUUGAAAUAAUAUCUUGGCUUGCCUAUCAGAAAAAGCUUGAGGAAUCAACAAGCAAGCUAGUGUUACUGCAUUCGUACAAUGCAUAGAUAAGACACUCCUCAACUACACUAGCACCAAAUCAUAUUAGCUGCAAUCCUAGUUUUUAUGAUUUUUGACUUAGUAAACUAGAUUUUUAAUGAUUUCUUGGACUUUACAUAGGUGCCGGAUUAAUUGGGUGCUAAUUGACUUGAAUAAUCAAAGUAGACCAAAUGAAUAAUUAGUUUGCAU